GAUUAAAUAUGCUUAAUCUACCGUAAAAUCACGUUGUGCCGGAUCGAAACAGGCGGGGGAGCAUGCUGCUGUCACGAACCUUGCUGUUGAAAGGAGAGCCCGCAGGAAAUCUGCAGUCGCUCGACGAGCUAUUUGCGCUUGCGAAUGCAAUGGAACAGGAAGCCGCCAGCAAGUACGACGAUCUUGCGGCAGACAUGCAACAUCAGAAUAAGCCGGAUCUCGCCGCCGUCUUCGCGCAACUUGCCGCAGCUGAGCUCGAACAUGUCGACAGUGUGGCGCGCUGGUCGCAAUCCCGUCUCGGCAGAGCGCCCGAUCCC
This 317-nucleotide unclassified non-coding RNA is filed under the name Hevea brasiliensis (rubber tree). The record is from RNAcentral. Lineage: Eukaryota; Viridiplantae; Streptophyta; Magnoliopsida; Malpighiales; Euphorbiaceae.